This 751-nucleotide ribosomal RNA is filed under the name Achromobacter sp. Its description in RNAcentral is "partial 16S ribosomal RNA". Lineage: Bacteria; Pseudomonadati; Pseudomonadota; Betaproteobacteria; Burkholderiales; Alcaligenaceae. The record is from RNAcentral.
ACUACGCGAAAGCNUAGCUAAUACCGCAUACGCCCUACGGGGGAACGCAGGGGAUCGUAAGACCUDGCACUAUWAGAGCGGCCGAUAUCGGAUUAGCUAGUUGGUGGGGUAACGGCUCACCAAGGCGACGAUCCGUAGCUGGUMUGAGAGVACGACCAGCMACACUGGAACUAAGACACGGCCCAVACUCCUACGGRASGCAGCAGUGGGGAAUUUUGVACAAUGGGGGAAACCCUGAUCCAGCCAUCCCGCGUGUGCGAUGAAGGCCUUCGGGUUGUAAAGCACUUUUGGCAGGACAGAAACGUCGYGGGUUAAUACCCCGCGACACUGACGGUACCUGCAGAAUAAGCACCGGCUAACUACGUGCCAGCAGCCGCGGUAAUACGUAGGGHGCAAGCGUUAAUCGGAAUUACUGGGCGUAAMGCGUGCGCAGGCGGUUCGGAAAGAAAGAUGUGAAAUCCCAGAGCUUAACUUUGGAACUGCAUUUUUAACUACCGAGCUAGAGUGUGUCAGAGGGAGGUGGAAUUCCGCGUGUMGCAGUVAAAUGCGUAVAUAUGCGGAGGAACACCGAUGGCGAAGGCAGCCUCCUGGGAUAACACUVACGCUCAUGCACGAAAGCGUGGGGAGCAAACAGGAUUAGAUACCCUGGUAGUCCACGCCCUAAACGAUGUCAACUVGCUGUUGGGGCCUUCGGGCCUUGGUAGCGCAGCUAACGCGUGAAGUUGACCGCCUGGGGAGUACGGUCGCAAGA